Micropterus salmoides (largemouth bass) is the source of this 885-nucleotide long non-coding RNA. RefSeq lists it as uncharacterized. Lineage: Eukaryota; Metazoa; Chordata; Actinopteri; Centrarchiformes; Centrarchidae. The transcript is spliced from 3 exons. The record is from RefSeq and is a predicted model, not a curated record.
UCUGAACAGUCUGUUGAAGAUUCUGAAGUGAAGAGAUGCCAAGAAGGAUGGAUUGAAUUCACUUGCAAAUAUCCAAAACAACAUGAAACAUAUCAAAGAAUUUCUGUAGUUACUCCCAAAAAAACCAUACAAAGCUGUGAGAAGGAUGUAUGGGAAAACAAAGGCAGAGUUUCCCUGUACCAUGAUACAAACAAUAAAAAUCUCAGGGUGGUCAUCAAACAACUUGAACCUGAGGACUUUGGGGACUACACCUGUAAAUUUACACGACGAGACUCAUCCAGUGACGAUAAAGUGAAACUGGAAGUUGAGACAGACGGCUGCCAGGGACAAUUUAUUCAAACUGCGUACAGAACAGCUAAAACCACCAUCACAUGUGAUUACACAGGAAACAAAUACAAGUUCUUCUGCAAACAGAAAGGUUCAAUCUGUGAGGAUAUUUUAUCAACAAAAUCCUCUCUGAAGUCAAAGGGGACAUUCACUCUCACAGAAACCAACAGUAGCUUUAGCAUGUCCAUCAGUAAGGUGUCCUCACAUGAUGCUGGUGUCUACUGGUGUGGAGUGGAAACACAUGAAGGAAGUUACAGAGCUGCUCUCAGAAAGAUACAGCUGGAGGUUGAAGAUAUUACUAACCUCACAAAGUCUCUAACUGUUGGACAGAAUCUUACAUACUGGUGUAAAUAUCCAAAUGGUGCUCUGAUAAACAAAUUCAUCUGUAAGGGAGAAGAUCCAUCUAUAUGUGAAACUCUAGUAAGCACCGCACAGCGCAACAAGAACACUGGGAGGUUUUCCAUCAAUGACUACCACAGGAAGAGAAAAAUCACCAUAACAGUGAGAGGAGUAACAACAGACGACACUGGGACAUACUGGUGUGGAGCAGAAAGCACU